This 219-nucleotide unclassified non-coding RNA is filed under the name Hevea brasiliensis (rubber tree). Lineage: Eukaryota; Viridiplantae; Streptophyta; Magnoliopsida; Malpighiales; Euphorbiaceae. The record is from RNAcentral.
UACUAAUAUUUGUGGGAUUUUCUCUUCUAAUCUCAACAAUUGCAGUUCCUUCUUCAAGAAGUAUUAAGACAAAUACAGAAAAUCAAGUUUCUCAUGACAAGGUGGUAUUGAUGGAUGAGUUGGAGAAGAAGAGGGAAUUGUUGGUGGAAAGAGAUGAUUAUGCAGGAACAGGUGCAAAUAAUCAUCAUGACCCAAAGCCUCCUGGCUCUCAAUGGUCAA